Poeciliopsis prolifica (blackstripe livebearer) is the source of this 1053-nucleotide long non-coding RNA. RefSeq lists it as uncharacterized. Lineage: Eukaryota; Metazoa; Chordata; Actinopteri; Cyprinodontiformes; Poeciliidae. The record is from RefSeq and is a predicted model, not a curated record. The transcript is spliced from 3 exons.
CUCGUUUCAGGCCAACCUGGUCGAGUGGUCCUCACCCUUCCGCUGAUGUCCGGGAAAUAGAUUUUAUUUUGUCCUGUUGUAAAUAAAUCACUCACUCAUCCCUAUCCAACGUGUGGUUACUGCAUGUGGGUCCGUAAAUUGAAACCCAUCAUGUCAAUCAGUGGCCAAGCCUGAAACAAAUAUUGAAAGAUGAAGAAAUUCUUUUUGAUAUUUUUGCAAUAUUUAGCUAGCAGUUAUGUGAAAUGUACUUAUAUUUAAUUGUAGCUCUAAUUUUUUUAUAUGUACAAUGUUUUAGGCUUUAUUAGUUACAUUUAUAGUGAUUUUCUAAACUUCUCUUAAGAGUAAUACUACUGUCUUAGUCCUGUCACGUUAACAAAGAAAUUAGGAUAAUUGCAAAACUGUUCAGUGUUUACAAUAUAAGGCUUCAGUAGUUAAUCCAUACAAAGGCUGUUUUGCCUUAAUUUUUUUAUUUUUUUGAAAAGUCUAAAUGUUAUAUUGCACUAAUAAAAGAUAUAUUUUUGCAGGCUUCAAGAGGAUCAGCGUGUGAAGAUCACUUUAUAAUGAUUUGAAAAAGGUUGCCAUGGCUACAGAAAUUGGAGGAGCAUCCUUAGAUGACACAAUACAACCAGCUGUGCGAUUCCUCAUGUCCCAUGAACUGGAAGUCCAGUUCAACCUUUUUGGCCAACAUUGGAAACAAGCUCUUGGACCUGCGUCUCUUUGAUGGGGACUUAAAAGAAAUUAUCCAUCUACAGAAUCACACAAGCAUACAGCAAAGACUCUCGAAGUGGUUUACUGGAGCCCGAGUGGAAGUGGAAAUAGACUAGAGAGACUGCCAGUUCAAACUCAGGUUGGGGAGGUCUUUCAAGAUGGACAGUUUCAGUAAAGUAUGAGAGAUUUCAAAUUUAAGCAUGCAUAUGGCAUGUAGGUUAUUUUAAAAAUGUUUAACAAAAAUGUAUUGUGAAAGAUCUAUAUAGGUGUGUAUAUUCACAUUGUGUGUAUCAAUGUGAAUAUACGUGUAUAAAGUUAUAUAGAUAGUAUUUAGAUGUAUACAUU